GACGAACGCUGGCGGCGUGCCUAAUACAUGCAAGUCGAACGCUGAAGGAGGAGCUUGCUUCUCUGGAUGAGUUGCGAACGGGUGAGUAACGCGUAGGUAACCUGCCUGGUAGUGGGGGAUAACUAUUGGAAACGAUAGCUAAUACCGCAUAAUAGCAGUUGUUGCAUGAUAACUGUUUGAAAGGUGCAAUUGCACCGCUACCAGAUGGACCUGCGUUGUAUUAGCUGGUUGGUGGGGUAACGGCUCACCAAGGCGACGAUACAUAGCCGACCUGAGAGGGGGGUCGGCCACACUGGGACCGAGACACCGCCCAGACGCCUAAGGGAGGGAGCCGUAGGGAAACUUCGGGCAAUGGCGGAAGUCUGACCGAGCAACGCCGCGGGAGGGAAUAAGGGUCUCGGGUCGGAAAGCUCUGUUUUAAGGGAAGAACGAGUGUGGGAGUGGAAAGUUCACACUGUGACGGUAUCUUACCAGAAAGCGACGGCUAACUACGUG
RNAcentral lists this ribosomal RNA (495 nucleotides) under uncultured bacterium. RNAcentral describes it as "partial 16S ribosomal RNA". It matches the Rfam family "Bacterial small subunit ribosomal RNA", at positions 28 to 507 of the family's 1533-position model. The record is from RNAcentral.